AGAACGAACGCUGGCGGCAAGCUUAACACAUGCAAGUCGAGCGGAGCGAGGGUGCUUGCACCUUAGCUUAGCGGCGGACGGGUGAGUAAUGCUUAGGAAUCUGCCUAUUAGUGGGGGACAACAUUCCGAAAGGGAUGCUAAUACCGCACACGCCCUACGGGGGAAAGCAGGGGAUCUUCGGACCUUGCGCUAAUAGAUGAGCCUAGGUCGGAUUAGCUAGUUGGUGGGGUAAAGGCCUACCAAGGCGACGAUCUGUAGCGGGUCUGAGAGGAUGAUCCGCCACACUGGGACUGAGACACGGCCCAGACUCCUACGGGAGGCAGCAGUGGGGAAUAUUGGACAAUGGGGGGAACCCUGAUCCAGCCAUGCCGCGUGUGUGAAGAAGGCCUUUUGGUUGUAAAGCACUUU
This 408-nucleotide ribosomal RNA is filed under the name Anaplasma marginale. Its description in RNAcentral is "bacterial SSU rRNA". It matches the Rfam family "Bacterial small subunit ribosomal RNA", at positions 26 to 436 of the family's 1533-position model. The record is from RNAcentral. Lineage: Bacteria; Pseudomonadati; Pseudomonadota; Alphaproteobacteria; Rickettsiales; Anaplasmataceae.